CUGGGCUUUCUGUAAUGAGAACCUGGGGCACAUCCCAGAGGAAGCCUUGGAGGGACAGGAGAAGAGCUCAGGACUGGGCAUUUGAGACCUGGUUUUUGAAUCCUGUAUGGCUUUAUCCCUGAUUUGCAAUGAGGCAAGUUUGUUCUUUCUUUGCCCUCUGUUUCUUCUCAGUGAACUGAGGGGUUGGCCAAAAUUGGUAUUUUGCAAACUAUUGGUAGUGGCCUAUUAAUGAGCUGUUAACUCUCUAUUUAAAAUUGUAGAUGAUUUUUUUUUUAAAUGGGAAGUACAGAAUAAGAAAUAAUGGAAAUAUUCAGAUGCAUUAUACACAGUAAGGGUAAUUAUUGCUUCCAGAACCUUCUGUAUGCAGUAUACCCUGUGCUGUUUGGUCCGUGGUAAAAUAUAUUUCUUACCAAUGGUCUUGGUCAGUUCUGCUUGAAAGCCUUUGGCUCAGGGGAGCUCCAGGGUCCUCCUAGAUGGAGAGUUAAGCUCGAACUGAGCCUGGUCUGGGGAGAAGGUCCCACCUUGUGGAGGAAGAUCUGGUGCAGUGCUAACCGGAUCUUUUCCUUCUCCCUGUUCUAGGAUGAAUGGAAGCCUAGGCGCUAACGCAGAUGACUGCAGAGACUUUCCCACCGGGCCUCAAGCCAAAACAACACAAAAAACCACAGCUCCUGAGUCGGAGUUCCUCAGUGCAGCUCACUCUCAGGGGUGCCCAGAUGGGCCUGACAAGGUAGGUGCAGGUGCCAUUGAGGGGACACAGGCACUAGGUGGAGCCACAGUGUCAGGCAAAGAUCUGUUUUCCCUGUUUCAUCACCGCCCGGCGGGAACUGCGGAGGGCAGUAAGAACUCACGACUCGGGGAUGCAGAAGAAGCAGCGAUGCUUGAGGCCACAGGUGUCUGACCUGUCCCCUCUUGGAUUCCAAAAGGCUGGAGUGGAAGAGGGAGGCUCUUUUACCUGACCCAGGGGCUCUCAUUACCACCGCGGACUUGGUGGGUUCUGCGGUGGCCUAAAGCUCCCAGGCAGCUGCAGAGGACAGGAGCUGCCACGAGGGGACAGCAGAACACCGGCGUUGACAGAGUGAGUUCUGUCCGCCAUAGUAGGAAUGGGAGAGACGUCUCUGUGCAGGGAACAAGGAUGCUCCAAGAGAGGCCUGGCAAGUUCUCUCCCCGAAGGCUCCAGGAGGAGUACAGCGUCCAGAUUUCCAAUAGAGGUCACCAGGGCCAGCCGGAGCUGACUCAUACAGGCUCACAAGAGCAGAUGGUUGAAUUUUUUAAAAAAAUCUUCAAGCCCACUGGUAAAUAUAGCCUUUGUCAAAACUCACCUUAAAGGAAUUGUUUGAAAGCAAACAUACUCUAAAACUCAUCAUUUUCUAAUUAUUUUGCUACUAUGUUUUAUGUUCCUGAGGUUAUUUACAUUUAUUCUGGUGGAAAUGCCAUAACACUGUUUUACUGCCGGCAGCAACAGAACAUCUUUAGUCUGAAACUGAUCGUGGAAGGGGAAUUUACACACCGAGGAGUCAACCCAUGCUGCAGAUCAGGGCUACUGCUGUUGCUCCUCUUCCUCCCCUGCCUCCUCCUCCUUCUUGUAGUGGGACUUGAACCCAGGUGCACUUUGCCACUGAGCUAGACCCCAGGCACUUUUUUUUUUUUUUUGAGACAGGGUCUUGCUGAAUUUCUUAAGUCCUCAUUAAGUUGCUGAGGUUGACCUCCAAACUUAAAUCCACCUCAGCCUCCUGAGUGCUGGGGGUUAUAGGCGUGGCCGUCCCACCUGGGCUUACUGGGCUGCUUUUGGAGAGCCAGCACACCUCUGAGACCCACUCCCCUCCUAUACCCAGUUCUCCCAUCUCUUCUCUUAUCCAGCCAGCCACUCCUACCUCUUCAGAGAUGGGAAGAUAAAAGGCUUGGCUUUGACCUGUAGCUCUGAGAACACUUCAGGACUUUACCUGGAUAAGCAGACAUGGAGAGAGAACUUAGAAGAGCAUGUCAUUCAAAGGGAAAAUAUCAAGGCAGGGCAGCACGUUGCCCCUCAUCCUCCCCUGCUCCCCACUCCUCCCACAACUCGUGGCACCUACAGAGCAGGUGAAGGAAGAGAUGUUGAGCCUGAAGAAGAGGAGAUACCGCCAACUGUCUACCAAACAUUUGAAGGGCUGGGAUGUGAGUGAGAACUUCUCUAUCAGUAUCCAAGAUAAAAAAAACCAAGGCCAAGACAUACAGAUUCAACUUAAUAUGAAGAACCUCAACUGAGCCAUUCGAAGAUGGGAUGAAAUGGUUCAUGAGUGCUGCCUCCUCCUCCAGUACAUGGGAUGCAUAAAAGAGAAUUUAAGACUCAUACAAAAGCCAUGCUGUCCACAGUCCAACAUUAUAGUGUUAGCUGAGAACUAGUUAGAAAUGCAGGACCUCAGGCUCCACCCCAGGCCUGCUGAAUCAGAAUCUAAAUUUUAACAAGACCCCAAAGUGACCUAUAAGAAACAGCAGUUUCAGAAGCUUCAAACUGAAUCAGAUGAAUUUGAGGUGGAGAUAUACUAUAUUAUUUCGUAUAAUGUAGUGGAAACUAUAGCAAUUGUUUCUUUAUGGAAACAAUCUGUAUUUGGGAGCUGGUUAGUACAUUAUAGCAAUCAAUGUGAUGGGAUAACUGUUCAUAUGGUAACAUGAAGGAGAUGAUUUUCAUUAACUGGUAGAGAUGAAAUCCAGGCUACAUUGUGAAGUGAGGAAAACAAAGUCAUUUCUAAAAUCAAAAUUUGUUCUAAAUCACCAAUAGAAUAGCUAAAAAUAAAAUUGAACCUGUAUAAGAAUCAAAACAAAAUGUGUGAGUAAAUAUUUUAAAUAUUUUUAGCUGUAGAUGGGCGCAAUAUUUUAUUUAUUUACAUUUAUGUGGUGCUGAGGAUCGAACUUCAUGCCUCACACAUAUGAGGCAAGCGCUCUACCACUGAGCUACAUCCCCAGCCCUGUGAAUAUAUUUUUAUAAUCUUGAAAUGUGGACGAUCUAAGUAUGGCACAAACCCGAAAGUCAUAAAAGUAAAAACAAAUAAGCUCAGACCAUACAUAUAGAAACCAAACAUUUUUCUGGGUGCUGUGGUACAUACCUGUAAUCCCAGUGACUUGGGAGCCUGAGGUAGGAGGAUUGCAAGUUCAAGACCAGCUUCAGCAACUUAGUGAGGCCCUAAGCAAUUUAGCAAGACCCUGUCUCAAAAUAAAAAAUAAACAGGGCUAGGGAUGUGGCUCAGUGGUAAGCACCCCUGGAUUCAAUCCCAGUACAAAACAACAACAACAACAGAACACACACACAUUUUUACUUGGUGAAAAACUAUCACACACAUACACCAAAAAAAAAGCAAAAAUGACAGAUUGGUAAAGUAACUGUAACACUAUUAAAAAAGAGGUUAUUUUAAUAUAUAAAGAGCUCCUGCAACUCAAUAAGAAAAACACCAACAAUUUAAAAGAAAAAAAAUGGACAAAAGACAUAAGCAAUUCAUGGAAAAAGAAAUGAAAAUAAGUACCUUUAAACAUGUAAAAAGAAGCUCAACUUAAUCCAUGAAGAAUGUAGAUUAGCAUAAUGAGAUACCAUUAUCAUUUAAGUUGGCAAAGAUAAAUUCAGCACUAAUGAGAAGGAAUUACUCUCAAUUUCUGGUACUUCUGGGGAGGGCUGUGGGUAAUAUCUGUCAAAUUUAAAAUGUACAUAGCACUUGGCACAGUUGUUCUUUCUUUCUUUCCUUCUUGUUUUUUCUUGAGACAGGGUCUCACUAAGUUGCCCAGGCUGGCCUUGAACUUGCAAUCCUCCUGCUUCAGCCUCCUGAGUUGCUGGAAUUAUGGGUGUGCUCCAGUGCACUAGGUGACACAGCUAUUCUUAUAGAUUCACAUGUAUACAUUGAAGAUAUACAGGAAUAUUAUUUCAACAUGAAUUAUAAUAUCAAAAAGUUGGAAAUAACUAUCCAUCAAUAUAGACCUGAAGCAAUUAACUUGUCAUAUGCAUGCAAUGGAAAACUAUGAAAUCCUAAAAUAUAACAGGGCAACUCUAUAGGGACUGAAAUGGAAUGAUCACUAUAUGUUUUUAAUAAAAAUAAAGAUGUAUUACAUUAAUAUAUUGCAAAGGAAAAUAUAAUUUUCCUUUUUUUUUUCGGUACCAGGGAUUGAACCCAGAGGCGCAUAACCAUUGAGCCACAUCCCUAGCCCUUUUUGUAUUUUAUUUAGAGACAAGGUCUCUCUGAGUUGCUUAGCACCUUGCUAAUUUGCUGAGGCUGGCCUUGAAUUUGUAAUCCUCUUGCCUCAGCCUCCCAAGCCCCUGGGAUAACAGGUAUGUGCCAGCUAAACUUACAUUCUUCUCCUUCCUCCUCCUCCUCCUCCUCCUCCUCCUCCUCUUCUUUUAUAAUUUCUCAGUUGUAAAUGGACACAAUGUUUUUUUAUGUACUUAUCUUUAUGUGGUGCCAAGAAUCAAAACCAGUGCCUCUUAAGUGUGAGACAAGUGCUCUACCACUGAGCUACAGCCCCAGCCCUAAACUUACAUUCUUAAACAUCUCUGGAUAAUACAAGAGACAGCUACCAGUGGGACCUGAGAAAAGAAUCGUGGACCAAGCAUCAGGGUGAGAAGGAGCUCAGAUUUUCAGUCGAUAUCUUUCAAUACUGUCAAUUCUGUAGAGUGUGCACAAAUUACCUUUAAACAUUAAAAAAAAAAUUCAUUUGGAGAGAGAGAGAACUCUCUCAGGUAAAGACCAAGCAGCCCCAUCCCCAUCCUACCGUUGAAGGGACAGUGUCUUUGGGUUCACCCUAUUACUUCUGUUCUUGCCCUAAUAAUUAAAUGCUUUCUUUUCUUGAAGGCUCAUUCCAGCCUCUGAAUCCUUCCAUCAAGUUCACAGAGGUGACCGUCGGUCCCCUGCUUUCCACAGUAGCUUGCAGGAUCUGUAGCUCCCCGCACCCUGCACUUUGUAUCAGUUGCGUCUCUGCAUCUGCCAUUAAAAUUGCCUCGCGCUUCUUCAUAUCACCUCGAAUGCCAUGUGGCUUUGUCAUGAGUCACCCUCUCUCCUGAUCUCUGGGACACCCACAGCCACACUUCACCCUGCAGUUCAUAUCAGGACCUGACAGCAUUGCAGAGCAUCGGGACUCUCCUUCUCUGCUUGCCCCAGGAGCUCCUGGAAGGUGGCAGCCUGGGCUUCACUCAUCUCUGUGCCCUUGAAAGUGCUGAGAGCAGAGUGAGCGCCCCAGAGAGCCGUCUCCAGUUCUCGGGUGAUGGAUGGCCAUUCAACAUAGCACAGUGUCAUGCGGUCUUUACUAGUCACCCUAGUACUUGCCUUGGCACUGAGAGCCGGUGUGACUGGAGGUGUGGUGCUUUCUAUGCUGCAAGGGCUGUGGUCCCCUCACACAGCAGCAGGGCGGGCGUCCAGCACCUGGCCACAUGCCCAGGGCUCAGAACCCUGCACCUUUCUCCAUCCU
Molecule: long non-coding RNA, 5421 nt
Filed under: Marmota monax (woodchuck)
Lineage: Eukaryota; Metazoa; Chordata; Mammalia; Rodentia; Sciuridae
Source: RNAcentral